RNAcentral lists this ribosomal RNA (404 nucleotides) under uncultured bacterium. RNAcentral's name for it is "bacterial SSU rRNA". It matches the Rfam family "Bacterial small subunit ribosomal RNA", at positions 355 to 774 of the family's 1533-position model. The record is from RNAcentral.
UGAGGAAUUUUCCGCAGUGGGCGAAAGCCUGACGGAGCAAUGCCGCGUGGAGGAUGACAGCCUGUGGGUCGUAAACUCCUUUUCUCAGAGAAGAAGUUCUGACGGUAUCUGAGGAAUAAGCAUCGGCUAACUCCGUGCCAGCAGCCGCGGUAAGACGGGGGAUGCAAGCGUUAUCCGGAAUGAUUGGGCGUAAAGCGUCUGUAGGUGGUUUAUUAAGUCUAGUGUUAAAGAUCAGGGCUUAACCCUGAGUCGGCAGUAGAAACUGAUGAGCUUGAGUACGGUAGGGGCAGAGGGAAUUCCCGGUGUAGCGGUGAAAUGCGUAGAGAUCGGGAAGAACACCAAUGGCGAAAGCACUCUGCUGGGCCGAAACUGACACUCAGAGACGAAAGCUAGGGGAGCAAACA